GACGAACGCUGGCGGCGUGCCUAAUACAUGCAAGUAGAACGGUGAAGUGAGGAGCUUGCUCUUCUUGGGUGAGUCGCGAACGGGUGAGUAACGCGUAGGUAACCUGCCUGGUAGCGGGGGAUAACUAUUGGAAACGAAUGCUAAUACCGCAUAAAAUGGACAAUCGCAUGAUUUUAAAAUGAAAGGUGCAAAUGCAUCACUACCAGAUGGAUCUGCGUUUGAUUAGCUAGCUGGUGAGGUAACGGCACACCAAGGCGAAGAUAGAGAGCGGGACUGAGAGGGUGAUCGUCCACCCUGGGACUGGUACACGGCCCAGACUCCUACGGGAAGCAGCAGUAGGGGUGCGUCGGAAAUGGACGGAAGUCUGAGCGAGCAACGCCGAGUGAGUGAAGAAGAAUUUCGGAUCGUGAAGCUCAGUUGUCAGUGAAGAACGGGUGUGAGAGUGGAAAGGUCAGUAUGUGACGGUACCUGACCAGAAAGCAACGGCUAACUACGUG
Molecule: ribosomal RNA, 497 nt
Filed under: uncultured bacterium
Lineage: Bacteria
Description: partial 16S ribosomal RNA
Rfam family: Bacterial small subunit ribosomal RNA
Source: RNAcentral